GGCUUCGUGGUUUAGGGGUAUAAUUCUCGCUUAGGGCUCACCCUGGGCGUGUCUGCGAGAGGUCCCGGGUUCGAAUCCCGGCGAAGCCC
This 89-nucleotide transfer RNA is filed under the name Echria macrotheca. RNAcentral describes it as "tRNA-Pro". It matches the Rfam family "tRNA". Rfam says of the family: Transfer RNA (tRNA) molecules are approximately 80 nucleotides in length. Their secondary structure includes four short double-helical elements and three loops (D, anti-codon, and T loops). Lineage: Eukaryota; Fungi; Ascomycota; Sordariomycetes; Sordariales; Schizotheciaceae. The record is from RNAcentral.